Vicugna pacos (alpaca) is the source of this 92-nucleotide microRNA precursor. The record is from Ensembl. Lineage: Eukaryota; Metazoa; Chordata; Mammalia; Artiodactyla; Camelidae.
GCAGUACCGUAGUAUGUAUUUAUUGAAAAAAAAUCCACAGGUAAGCGGACUCGUGUGCUUCAAACCUGUGUUGUUCAAGGGUCAACUGUACU